GACUGCGUACCUUUUGUAUAAUGGGUCAGCGACUUAUAUUCUGUAGCAAGGUUAACCGUAUAGGGGAGCCGCAGGGAAACCGAGUCUUAACUGGGCGUUAAGUUGCAGGGUAUAGACCCGAAACCCGGUGAUCUAGCCAUGGGCAGGUUGAAGGUUGGGUAACACUAACUGGAGGACCGAACCGACUAAUGUUGAAAAAUUAGCGGAUGACUUGUGGCUGGGGGUGAAAGGCCAAUCAAACCGGGAGAUAGCUGGUUCUCCCCGAAAGCUAUUUAGGUAGCGCCUCGUGAACUCAUCUUCGGGGGUAGAGCACUGUUUCGGCUAGGGGGUCAUCCCGACUUACCAACCCGAUGCAAACUACGAAUACCGAAGAAUGUUAUCACGGGAGACACACGGCGGGUGCUAACGUCCGUCGUGAAGAGGGAAACAACCCAGACCGCCAGCUAAGGUCCCAAAGUCAUGGUUAAGUGGGAAACGAUGUGGGAAGGCACAGACAGC
This 498-nucleotide ribosomal RNA is filed under the name Pseudomonas aeruginosa. RNAcentral describes it as "partial 23S ribosomal RNA". It matches the Rfam family "Bacterial large subunit ribosomal RNA", at positions 595 to 1093 of the family's 2925-position model. Lineage: Bacteria; Pseudomonadati; Pseudomonadota; Gammaproteobacteria; Pseudomonadales; Pseudomonadaceae. The record is from RNAcentral.